This 497-nucleotide ribosomal RNA is filed under the name uncultured bacterium. Its description in RNAcentral is "partial 16S ribosomal RNA". It matches the Rfam family "Bacterial small subunit ribosomal RNA", at positions 28 to 507 of the family's 1533-position model. The record is from RNAcentral.
GAUGAACGCUGGCGGCGUGCCUAAUACAUGCAAGUCGAGCGAACAGACGAGGAGCUUGCUCCUCUGACGUUAGCGGCGGACGGGUGAGUAACACGUGGAUAACCUACCUAUAAGACUGGGAUAACUUCGGGAAACCGGAGCUAAUACCGGAUAAUAUAUUGAACCGCAUGGUUCAAUAGUGAAAGACGGUUUUGCUGUGACUUAUAGAUGUAUCCGCGCCGCAUUAGCUAGUUGGUAAGGUAACGGCUUACCAAGGCAACGAUGCGUAGCCGACCUGAGAGGGUGAUCGGCCACACUGGAACUGGGACACGGUCCAGACUCCUACGGGAGGCAGCAGUAGGGAAUCUUCCGCAAUGGGCGAAAGCCUGACGGAGCAACGCCGCGUGAGUGAUGAAGGUCUUCGGAUCGUAAAACUCUGUUAUUAGGGAAGAACAAAUGUGUAAGUAACUAUGCACGUCUUGACGGUACCUAAUCAGAAAGCCACGGCUAACUACGUG